GCAGUCUUGGCCGAGUGGUUAAGGCGAUAAACUAGAAAUCCAUUGGGCUCUCCCCGCACAGGUUCGAAUCCUGUCGACUGCG
Ixodes scapularis (black-legged tick) is the source of this 82-nucleotide non-coding RNA. The record is from Rfam. Lineage: Eukaryota; Metazoa; Arthropoda; Arachnida; Ixodida; Ixodidae.